GAUGAAGAACGUAGCGAAAUGCGAAAAGUAGUGUGAAUUGCAGAAUUCAGUGAAUCAUCGAAUCUUUGAACGCACAUUGCGCCCCUUGGUAUUCCAUGGGGCAUGCCUGUUCGAGCGUCAUUUGUACCUUCAAGCUCUGCUUGGUGUUGGGUGUUUGCCCCGCUUUUUGCGUGGACUCGCCUCAAAGCAAUUGGCAGCCGGCGUACUAGCCUGGGAGCGCAGCACAUUUUGCGCAUCUCGACUGGAACGCUUGCGUCCAUUAAGCCUACACUUUUGCUCUUGACCUCGGAUCAGGUAGGGAUACCCGCUGAACUUAAGCAUAUCAAUAAGCGGAGGA
This 337-nucleotide unclassified non-coding RNA is filed under the name soil metagenome. Its description in RNAcentral is "partial contains 5.8S ribosomal RNA, internal transcribed spacer 2, and large subunit ribosomal RNA". The stretch from base 1 to 120 matches the Rfam family "5.8S ribosomal RNA", at positions 35 to 154 of the family's 154-position model. The record is from RNAcentral.